AAUCGAGUGGCGAACGGGUGAGUAACGCGUGAGGAACCUGCCUCAAAGAGGGGGACAACAGUUGGAAACGACUGCUAAUACCGCAUAAGCCCACAGCUCGGCAUCGAGCAGAGGGAAAAGGAGUGAUCCGCUUUGAGAUGGCCUCGCGUCCGAUUAGCUGGUUGGUGAGGUAACGGCCCACCAAGGCGACGAUCGGUAGCCGGACUGAGAGGUUGAACGGCCACAUUGGGACUGAGACACGGCCCAGACUCCUACGGGAGGCAGCAGUGGGGAAUAUUGCACAAUGGGGGAAACCCUGAUGCAGCGACGCCGCGUGGAGGAAGAAGGUCUUCGGAUUGUAAACUCCUGUUGUUGAGGAAGAUAAUGACGGUACUCAACAAGGAAGUGACGGCUAACUACGUGCCAGCAGCCGCGGUAAAACGUAGGUCACAAGCGUUGUCCGGAAUUACUGGGUGUAAAGGGAGCGCAGGCGGGAAAGCAAGUUGGAAGUGAAAUCCAUGGGCUCAACCCAUGAACUGCUUUCAAAACUGUUUUUCUUGAGUAGUGCAGAGGUAGGCGGAAUUCCCGGUGUAGCGGUGGAAUGCGUAGAUAUCGGGAGGAACACCAGUGGCGAAGGCGGCCUACUGGGCACCAACUGACGCUGAGGCUCGAAAGUGUGGGUAGCAAACAGGAUUAGAUACCCUGGUAGUCCACACUGUAAACGAUGAUUACUAGGUGUUGGAGGAUUGACCCCUUCAGUGCCGCAGUUAACACAAUAAGUAAUCCACCUGGGGAGUACGACCGCAAGGUUGAAACUCAAAGGAAUUGACGGGGGCCCGCACAAGCAGUGGAGUAUGUGGUUUAAUUCGACGCAACGCGAAGAACCUUAC
Molecule: ribosomal RNA, 869 nt
Filed under: Faecalibacterium prausnitzii
Lineage: Bacteria; Bacillati; Bacillota; Clostridia; Eubacteriales; Oscillospiraceae
Description: bacterial SSU rRNA
Rfam family: Bacterial small subunit ribosomal RNA
Source: RNAcentral